Molecule: long non-coding RNA, 497 nt
Organism: Nycticebus coucang (slow loris)
Lineage: Eukaryota; Metazoa; Chordata; Mammalia; Primates; Lorisidae
Exons: 3
Source: RefSeq, a predicted model, not a curated record
UUUCUUUUCACUCUAAAAGGGAAAGGAGAUUUGGACCUCAGCUGUCCUUUGGGUAGAAAGAGAACACAGAGUCACUUCUGAGACUCUGUCAUCUCUGUAAGGCGUCUGGUAUCUGGAAAGUCUGAGUCUAUGUCUUCACAUCAUUCCUUCUUCUGAAGCCUUUUCUCUCUUACUGGGUGUUUCCAGCCACCUGUCUUCUUGUUUGAAGCGCAGAUUUUCUGACUUUUGUGGCAGUGAAUUGCAGCCUGUGCUGAAGUGGGUUUUAGUACUACUCAACUUCUUGUCCAUUCCUUGAAGAAACUGGAUUUUUAUAGUCUGAUUGUUUCAGUUGUUUGCCUUAGUCUUUUGCUUUGAAAUAAUUUUCCUGAGGUCAUAAAUUCAAGAAGAUGGGGUAUUUUAUUUACAACAAUGAUCUUAUUCCUUUUUAUAUUUUGUAUUUAUUAUAAUAUACAUUGUAUAUUAUUUGCUAUACGUACAGUGAUUAUAUUGCAAUAAAC